RNAcentral lists this ribosomal RNA (252 nucleotides) under uncultured bacterium. RNAcentral describes it as "partial 16S ribosomal RNA". It matches the Rfam family "Bacterial small subunit ribosomal RNA", at positions 524 to 776 of the family's 1533-position model. The record is from RNAcentral.
UACGUAGGUGGCAAGCGUUGUCCGGAUUUAUUGGGUUUAAAGGGUGCGUAGGCGGUCUUAUAAGUCAGUGGUGAAAUACGGCAGCUCAACUGUCGAGGUGCCAUUGAUACUGUAGGACUGAGUACAGACGAGGUAGGCGGAAUUGACGGUGUAGCGGUGAAAUGCUUAGAUAUCGUCAAGAACACCGAUAGCGAAGGCAGCUUACUAGGCUGUAACUGACGCUGAGGCACGAAAGUGUGGGGAUCAAACAGG